ACGCUCGACACCUACGGGAGGUAGCAGUGAGGAAUAUUGGUCAAUGGGCGCUAGCCUGAACCAGCCAAGUAGCGUGAAGGAUGAAGGCUCUAUGGGUCGUAAACUUCUUUUAUAUAAGAAUAAAGUGCAGUAUGUAUACUGUUUUGUAUGUAUUAUAUGAAUAAGGAUCGGCUAACUCCGUGCCACAGCCGCGGUAAUCUGAGCGGGCUGGCAAGGC
Molecule: ribosomal RNA, 217 nt
Filed under: uncultured bacterium
Lineage: Bacteria
Description: partial 16S ribosomal RNA
Rfam family: Bacterial small subunit ribosomal RNA
Source: RNAcentral